RNAcentral lists this ribosomal RNA (253 nucleotides) under uncultured bacterium. RNAcentral describes it as "partial 16S ribosomal RNA". It matches the Rfam family "Bacterial small subunit ribosomal RNA", at positions 524 to 776 of the family's 1533-position model. The record is from RNAcentral.
UACGUAGGCAGCGAGCGUUGUUCGGAAUUACUGGGCGUAAAGAGUGUGUAGGCGGUGCUCCAAGUCUGUUGUGAAAUCUCCCGGCUUAACUGGGAGGGUGCAGCGGAAACUGGAAUGCUUGAGGGUGGGAGAGGUAAGCGGAAUUCCUGGUGUAGCGGUGAAAUGCGUAGAUAUCAGGAGGAACACCUGUGGUGUAGACAGCUUACUGGACCACUUCUGACGCUGAGACACGAAAGCGUGGGUAGCAAACAGG